UGCAGUCGAGCGGUAAGGCCUUUCGGGGUACACGAGCGGCGAACGGGUGAGUAACACGUGAGCAAUCUGCCCUUCUCUUUGGAAUAACCAUUGGAAACGAUGGCUAAUGCCGAAUAUGACCUCCUUUCGCAUGUUUGGAGGUGGAAAGCUCCGGCGGAGAAGGAUGAGCUCGCGGCCUAUCAGCUUGUUGGUGAGGUAAUGGCUCACCAAGGCAUUGACGGGUAGCCGGCCUGAGAGGGUGACCGGCCACACUGGGACUGAGACACGGCCCAGACUCCUACGGGAGGCAGCAGUGGGGAAUAUUGGACAAUGGGCGAAAGCCUGAUCCAGCAACGCCGCGUGAGGGAUGACGGCCUUCGGGUUGUAAACCUCUUUCAGCAGGGACGAAGCGAGAGUGACGGUACCUGCAGAAGAAGGACCGGCCAACUACGUGCCAGCAGCCGCGGUAAUACGUAGGGUCCGAGCGUUGUCCGGAAUUAUUGGGCGUAAAGGGCUCGUAGGCGGUUUGUCGCGUCGGGAGUGAAAACUCAGGGCUCAACCCUGAGCGUGCUUCCGAUACGGGCAGACUAGAGGUAUGCAGGGGAGAACGGAAUUCCUGGUGUAGCGGUGGAAUGCGCAGAUAUCAGGAGGAACACCGGUGGCGAAGGCGGUUCUCUGGGCAUUACCUGACGCUGAGGAGCGAAAGCAUGGGGAGCGAACAGGAUUAGAUACCCUGGUAGUCCAUGCCGUAAACGUUGGGCGCUAGGUGUGGGGACCUUCCACGGUCUCCGUGCCGCAGCUAACGCAUUAAGCGCCCCGCCUGGGGGAGUACGGGCCGCAAGGCUAAAACUCAAAAGGAAUUGACGGGGGGCCCGCACAAACGGGCGGAGCAUGGUUGAUUAAUUCCGAUGCAACGCCGAAGAACCUUUACCUUGGGUUUUGACAUAAUACCCGGAAAAGCUUGCAAAAGAUGUGGGCCCCCUUUUUGGUCCGGUAUACAAGGUGGGUGCAUGGGCUUGCCGUCAAGCUCCGUGGCCGUGGAGAUGGUUGGGGUUAAAGUCCCCGCAACCGAGCGGCAACCCCUCGGUUCUAUUGUUUGCCAGGCACCGUUAUUGGGUGGGGGACUCCAUAAGGAAGACUGGCCGGGGGUCAACUUCCGGAGAGAAAGGUGGGG
This 1153-nucleotide ribosomal RNA is filed under the name Aeromicrobium sp. TA_FJ. Its description in RNAcentral is "bacterial SSU rRNA". It matches the Rfam family "Bacterial small subunit ribosomal RNA", at positions 56 to 1178 of the family's 1533-position model. Lineage: Bacteria; Bacillati; Actinomycetota; Actinomycetes; Propionibacteriales; Nocardioidaceae. The record is from RNAcentral.